This 22-nucleotide microRNA is filed under the name Parasteatoda tepidariorum (common house spider). Its description in RNAcentral is "pte-miR-35d-3p". Its record names the gene pte-miR-35d-3p. The record is from miRBase by way of RNAcentral. Lineage: Eukaryota; Metazoa; Arthropoda; Arachnida; Araneae; Theridiidae.
UCACCGGGUGAAAAAUUUGCCU